CUACAAGAAAAUUGAUCAUUCACAGAGAUAAAUUUGUGCCGUGAGUGAGUAUUACUCACGACGAAUAAUAAAUAUCCGCCCACGUGCUUCUUGUUUCCGAUGACGGAGGAAGCACAGCCGAGAUUAUCCGAGUCCUCGGUGGUCCGGCCGUAGGAGAUGUACGGUCCAGAUGCUUGAGAUUGGCCGAUUAAAGCACCUCUGAGGUGGUAGCCGUCCUGGAAUUGCUUGCUUGGUCAUCUGGUUUUGUUUAGCAUACUUUGCAUCUCUCAACAAGUAUAGACAGAAAUGGACAAUACAAAUGUAUACGCCUACAUUUCAACAAUUGCUCUCUUGGUUUGCAUCCCACCAACAUUAAUUAUUGAAGGACUCCAACUGAUGCAAUAUGGUUUUAGGGAUGCAAUGGCCAAGGGGCAUUUGAGUAAAGGUCAUGUGCAAAGAGUCGAGUUCCCGAUCUUCUAUUUGGUUUGCACGGUGGAACUUUUUAUUGUUCUCCUUGGUACCGCUAUAGACGUUAAAAGUUUGGGCAUGAAGGUAGUAUCAUCCCUCUGAAGUUAGAUAAAUUGGUAUUGUCAUUGUAUUCUUACACUUCAAAUGAUUUUGUAAUUGAAGUGGAUUAUAAACUUUCAAUGAAGUGUUCAUUUCUUUGUUCUA
Rosa rugosa (rugosa rose) is the source of this 651-nucleotide long non-coding RNA. RefSeq lists it as uncharacterized. The record is from RefSeq and is a predicted model, not a curated record. NCBI's taxonomy places the organism in Eukaryota, Viridiplantae, Streptophyta, Magnoliopsida, Rosales, Rosaceae. The transcript is spliced from 5 exons.